GACGACGGGUAGCCGGCCUGAGAGGGCGACCGGCCACACUGGGACUGAGACACGGCCCAGACUCCUACGGGAGGCAGCAGUGGGGAAUAUUGCACAAUGGGCGAAAGCCUGAUGCAGCGACGCCGCGUGAGGGAUGACGGCCUUCGGGUUGUAAACCUCUUUCAGCAGGGAAGAAGCGAGAGUGACGGUACCUGCAGAAGAAGCGCCGGCUAACUACGUGCCAGCAGCCGCGGUAAUACGUAGGGCGCAAGCGUUGUCCGGAAUUAUUGGGCGUAAAGAGCUCGUAGGCGGCUUGUCGCGUCGGAUGUGAAAGCCCGGGGCUUAACUCCGGGUCUGCAUUCGAUACGGGCAGGCUAGAGUUCGGUAGGGGAGAUCGGAAUUCCUGGUGUAGCGGUGAAAUGCGCAGAUAUCAGGAGGAACACCGGUGGCGAAGGCGGAUCUCUGGGCCGAUACUGACGCUGAGGAGCGAAAGCGUGGGGAGCGAACAGGAUUAGAUACCCUGGUAGUCCACGCCGUAAACGUUGGGAACUAGGUGUGGGCGACAUUCCACGUUGUCCGCGCCGCAGCUAACGCAUUAAGUUCCCCGCCUGGGGGAGUACGGA
RNAcentral lists this ribosomal RNA (602 nucleotides) under Micromonospora sp. WYP-192. RNAcentral's name for it is "bacterial SSU rRNA". It matches the Rfam family "Bacterial small subunit ribosomal RNA", at positions 275 to 886 of the family's 1533-position model. Lineage: Bacteria; Bacillati; Actinomycetota; Actinomycetes; Micromonosporales; Micromonosporaceae. The record is from RNAcentral.